RNAcentral lists this ribosomal RNA (468 nucleotides) under uncultured bacterium. Its description in RNAcentral is "partial 16S ribosomal RNA". It matches the Rfam family "Bacterial small subunit ribosomal RNA", at positions 28 to 507 of the family's 1533-position model. The record is from RNAcentral.
GACGAACGCUGGCGGCGUGCUUAACACAUGCAAGUCGAACGGAAAGGCCCUGCUUUUGUGGGGUGCUCGAGUGGCGAACGGGUGAGUAACACGUGAGUAACCUGCCCUUGACUUUGGGAUAACUUCAGGAAACUGGGGCUAAUACCGGAUAGGAGCUCCUGCUGCAUGGUGGGGGUUGGAAAGUUUCGGCGGUUGGGGAUGGACUCGCGGCUUAUCAGCUUGUUGGUGGGGUAGUUGCUUACCAAGGCUUUGACGGGUAGCCGGCCUGAGAGGGUGACCGGCCACAAUGGGACUGAGAUACGGCCCAGACUCCUACGGGAGGCAGCAGGGGGGAAUAUUGCACAAUGGGCGGAAGCCUGAUGCAGCAACGCCGCGUGCGGGAUGACGGCCUUCGGGUGGUAAACCGCUUUCGCCUGUGACGAAGCGUGAGUGACGGUAAUGGGUAAAGAAGCACCGGCUAACUACGUG